This 1119-nucleotide long non-coding RNA is filed under the name Taeniopygia guttata (zebra finch). RNAcentral's name for it is "lncRNA (ENSTGUG00000024053.1)". Lineage: Eukaryota; Metazoa; Chordata; Aves; Passeriformes; Estrildidae. The record is from RNAcentral.
GACAUGGCACUGGGUGGCAACGAUGGCAGCAGCGGUUUUUGUUGUUGUUUCCCCAGAACGCUGUGCAAUAUAUUCCGAUUUUUUUUCUUGUCAUUAAGCCAGUGCCUCGGAGAUGAUGAUGUAGUCCCUAUGUGGGCCGCAGAAAGCACUUCGAGCCGUGCUGGAGUCGUGCUGGGUGGCUCUGAUAGCAGAGCUAAUGGGAGCGAAUGGGAUGCAACGAACUGUUCUAAUGACACCAGCCAGGGAAGAGACAACAGACGAGGUUUUUCCCUGAUGUCAACAGAGUCACACUGCAGAAGAGCCAGUGCUGAUGGGGUCUGCUCCAGCCUGUGGGACCAGCAAGCUAAAACCCUGAAGGAAUUUUCCUGAGUGAGUUUGUCCAAAGCAACAUUCACCACCUCAUUCAAUAUUUGCCUGCAAAAAAAAUGCCAAUUAUUAAGAGACAGUCCUGGCUGGGCAUCAAUAGGCAGCCAGGUGUGAGAAGUUGAAGAGAAAUACAUCUCAUUAAUGUGGAAUUGUUUUUAGGUUAAUAAUCUUGCGUUAAUUUUCCUUUAAAAUAUUGUCUUUGACCGUUAAACGCUCGCACUGUUAUAAAAAGAACGUAAUAAAUGAUCUUGAAGCAAAUUCUCCUGCCAAAUGUCAUAAUUUAUUUGCAUAAUUAGCUCUUAAUUUUAAUUCAAUAUGCAAAUCCACGCUUCCUUUAAAUUGCAGCAGCCUGUUUCCCAGCCCUGGCUGCCAUGAAUUUAUUGUGAGGCGGCUGUUUGAAAAGGCAGCUUCACUGCCUUCUGGGGAUGGCUGCCUGGGGGAGGGGGUGCCCACCGCCAAUUCCAGUCACUUUUUGUUGGGGUUUUGUUUUGGUUCGCUUCUUAAUAAGUUGGACCCCAGCCUGCUUCAAUCCCUGAGCAUCCCCAUUUUCCUCCCAACAAGACCUGUUUCCCUUUGUCUUCCUUCUGCAUUCUCUCUUUCUUUUUUUCUUUUCUUCUUUGGAGAAGACAAUGUUGAUCCUCCAUGUUCCCAUCCCCUUGCACCUCCAUGAAAAGCUCUGACUCAAGGCAGCCUGGCAACUGCUCUGCUCUCCUCCCCUCUUCAGCUCUUUUUCUCCAGCCCUUCCUUGCUGCA